UUUUGUAGCAGAUAGUGAAAGUACAAGGUCAACAGGACUGUUAGAUUCAGGAAUGUUCGUGAAUAUUCAUCCAUCUGGAGUAAAAACUGAGUCAACUGUGCUGAUGACAUCAGAUAAGGCUGAAUCAUGUCAGGGAGAUUUAAGUACAUUGGCCAGUGUGGUUACAUCAUUAGCGAAUCUUGGAAAAACUAAAGAUCUUUCUCAAAAUAGUAAUGAAAUGUCUAUGAUUGAAAGCUUAAGCAAUGAUGAUACCUCUUUGUGUGAAUUUCAAGAAAUGCAGACCAACGGUGAUGUUUCAAGGCAAGAAAACAGCAUAUCACUGGUGAAAGCUUACUGGAAUGAACUUUUUACUCUUGGUCUUGCCCAGUGCUGGCAAGUGAUGAAUGUAGCAACUAUAUUAGCAACAUUUGUCAAUUGUCUUCACAAUAGUCUUCAACAAGAUAAAAUGUCAACAGAAAGAAGAAAAUUAUUGAUGGAGCACAUCUUCAAACUACAGGAGUUUUGUAACAGCAUGGUUAAACUCUGCAUUGAUGGAUACGAAUAUGCCUACCUGAAGGCAAUAGUACUCUUCAGUCCAGUUUACAGUUUUCACAGAUGGUAAAAUGACGGUAAGC
RNAcentral lists this small RNA (614 nucleotides) under Pan troglodytes (chimpanzee). RNAcentral describes it as "processed transcript". The record is from RNAcentral. Lineage: Eukaryota; Metazoa; Chordata; Mammalia; Primates; Hominidae.